AGACUCAGAGGUAAGAGGGUUACACAGGGGACAGCCAUUUCAGGCAGGUCACAGGGAUAUUGGUUAGAGCCGACAGUACUAACCCUGUUUGUUCAGUUGUGCUUUCCCGACUGCAAGGAAAUACAUGCUGCUUCUACACUUCGGGCACCAACCAGCCACAAAAAAAUACAUAUAUAUUCCAUGCGGCACCUGAAUUUCUUUGCUGACCUUUACAGUGGUUUAAUAAAUCAAUGGGAGGAAUGUAAGCUUUAAUGUUUGCAAAGGUAGAGGAUAAGCAUUUCUGUCUGCAAGAGACAAAGCCCCGAGUCUGGCUCUUUCACAGCCAUGCUGGAUGCUGUCCAGGGCAGGAGUUCAGUUUCUCGCCAGUACUUCACUGCUGCAUGAAUGCAGCAAAGGCUGCAGAAUUGCAUAUGGGCGGAUCCCUGGAUUCCUACAGUAAAGCAGGCAGGCUUCUGAAGCCAGGAUAUGUAACGCCGGUGUAUGGGAUGCCCCAGCUCAAGCUGCUGCUCCAACAGGACAGUCCUACACUACAGGUUUUGAUCCAGGCCAAAAGGGGUACGAUUGAUUCUGCAGUGCUCAGAUUCUGGAUGCAGUAUGAGGGGACAUCGUUCCUCUGCAGAUGU
Molecule: long non-coding RNA, 623 nt
Filed under: Homo sapiens (human)
Lineage: Eukaryota; Metazoa; Chordata; Mammalia; Primates; Hominidae
Description: HSALNT0134334
Source: RNAcentral